Molecule: unclassified non-coding RNA, 970 nt
Filed under: Hevea brasiliensis (rubber tree)
Lineage: Eukaryota; Viridiplantae; Streptophyta; Magnoliopsida; Malpighiales; Euphorbiaceae
Source: RNAcentral
ACAGAAGUGAGCAAAUCAUUGACUCACUUCUUAAAUUCAAGAAAUAAUUGAUUUUCCACAAGCACAUUCAUACAUAUUUAAAAAGCCAACUCACAAAGUAAUACCCACUGCUACAGUGGCCACUACAGCAGUGACCCCAUAAAGAUGAAGAGAUCAGCAGUAGAAGGAAGAAAAACACACACACACACAAAUGGUGGCAUUUAUAAUUUUAUCCCUCAAAAUCAGUUUUAACCCAUUGACCAUAUUUGCUCUUCAUCUUCUCAUCAAAUUCCUUGGCUUUUAUCUCCGCAAUUUUGGCUGCAUUUGCCAUGGACUCCUCUUGUACUCUUGCAAUCUUUCUGCUUCUCUUUUUCGCUGCAGCCUCUCUUUCUGCAUCCAAACUUUCAUAAUCUCUUACCCAACAGUUAUGUACAGCGCAGCUCAAAGCUAACACCAUUACCUGCAGAAUAAACAUUGCCAUUAAAACCCCACAUUCUAUUCUCACCAAAAGCUUUGCCUCUCUGGGGUCUCUUGGGGAUUUGAGCAUUGAAAGGCUUGAUUUUUCUCUUGUAAAUAAGACUAAUAUGCUUAGUACUUGUCCAAUCAAAGAGGCAAAGUGAAGCGAAAUGUGGGUUACGAAACAGAAAUGACUUAGCUGAGAGUAAAAUCCGACAAACGAGCAGAGAAGGGAGAUGCAAGAAACUGUAAGUAAUGCCAAGCCUAGAGAAGUUGGUGGCAUUUUUAGGAGAAUAAUGGGUGCAAGAGAGGCUGAGGAGAGGAUAAACAGGGUAAAAUUUAAGCAUGAGAGGAGAAGAUUUGGGAAAGAGCAUGAGCUUCUGAGCUUAGAGGAGGCCAUUUUGGGGUUGAUAGAAUCUAUGCUCCAAGAUCUUUGCUUUGAAGAGGGUAGAAGAUUUGAAUUUAUAUAACAGGUGGGAUUUGGCCGUUAGAGGCUUGGAGAUUGUGACACAACGGCUAGGACAUUAGACAGACA